Neopsephotus bourkii (Bourke's parrot) is the source of this 685-nucleotide long non-coding RNA. RefSeq lists it as uncharacterized. NCBI's taxonomy places the organism in Eukaryota, Metazoa, Chordata, Aves, Psittaciformes, Psittacidae. The record is from RefSeq and is a predicted model, not a curated record. The transcript has 4 exons.
UCGGGAGGAAGUAACUCGCCGCACUACUGCAGGGGAAACUAGCUGCUCGAGGAAAGCUGUGGCAGCCUGUCUUCACAGGAGAGGUGCUCCAGUCCUCUGAUCAUCUUUGUGGCCCUCCUCUGGACUUGUUCAAGCAGAUCCAUGUCCUUCUUGUGCUGGGGGCCUCAGACCUGGACAGAGUACUGCAGGUUUGGCUGCUACCAGUUAUUUCACCUUUUAUCAACUACAAGCAGCAUGAACCUAACAAUGAAGAAUGAUGCAAAUAUAAUGAUCCUAUUGAUUGCAGUAGAGAUUCAUUCUUUGAGAGAAAUUGAAUGCACCUACUGAAACAGAAGCAACUUAGGUCUAGAAGUCCACAGCUGAUACUGGAAGGAAAGGUGACCUAGCAUAGGCAAAGGUUUACAGGAAUCAAAAGGAGAGAACCAUGUUUGUUUUUUCCAGUUUGCCAAUACUGUCUCAAGUGAACCUGCACUAGCCAUUGCGGGGAUCCCAGUGGAGGUAGCACAUGCCUACAGAUCUUCUCGACACAAACUUAACUUGAAAAGGAGGAGUCUGGGGGUAGAGGGACUGAGGAGGGCAUGAUCAUAAAUUAUUUGUAUGUAGCUUCACAGCAGGGUCAGGAUUCCAAGAACACCAUAAAAUCCUGGCUUUUCUUGACUUCCAGGCAUUAAAGCCUCUAAAUAGU